GACGAACGCUGGCGGCGUGCUUAACACAUGCAAGUCGAACGGAAAGGCCCUGCAAUUGUGGGUUGCUCGAGGGGCGAACGGGUGAGUAACAAGAACGUAACCUGGCCUGGACUUUAGGAUAAGUUCAGGACACUGGGGCUAAUAUCGGCUAAGAGCUCCAGGUGCAAGGCGGGGGUUGGAAAGUUUCGGCGGUGGGGGAUGGACUCGCGGCUUAUUAGCUUGUUGAUGGGGUAGUGGCUUACCAAGGCUUUGACGGGUAGCAGGCCUGCGAGGGUGACCAGCCACCUUGGGACUGCGGUACGGCCGACCAUCCUCCGGGAGGCAGCAGCGGGGAAUAUUGCACCAUGGGCGGCAGCCUGAUGAAGCAGCGCCGCGUGCGGGAUGUAGGCCUUCGGGUUGUAAACCGCUUUCGCCUGUGACGAAGAGGCAGUGACGGUAAUGGGUAAAGAAGCACCGGCUAACUCCGUG
This 468-nucleotide ribosomal RNA is filed under the name uncultured bacterium. RNAcentral's name for it is "partial 16S ribosomal RNA". It matches the Rfam family "Bacterial small subunit ribosomal RNA", at positions 28 to 507 of the family's 1533-position model. The record is from RNAcentral.